GCACCCGCCGCCUGGUUGCUAUCCGGAUGCGCGGUCGCGCCUCCCAGGCGCACCUCUGGGCCAGUGGGCCAAGUGUCGCUAGGAAGUUUCCUGCAGGCCCGUCAGGGGGACCCAGUCUGGAGCAACCCGUACAGGCACUUCCAGGGAUUGAUCCAAGAACUUCAUGACUGAGUAUCCAAGGCUUUAUCCAUUGUGCCACCUCCCAUAGAGAGGAAAGAGCAAGUCUGUUCAUUGAUCAUCCCAUAUCCCUCCAGAUUCAUCACAACAUUGCCUACAGUCAAAAUUGCAUCUGAGCAGUGCUUGCCUUUCCUCAGCCUAUAGGCCUGGAAACUGGCCUUACCAACCUCCACACCUGAAGGACAUUAAAGGUGAUUUACAAGAGAUAAACCAGUUUGCAAAUUUGAGAACUAAAUGGUGCUUCCAACCCCACUUAAGCACCUGUGUAAACAAUAGGUGAUUCACCUCAGAAGAGCCUGUCAGGCAACACUCUGGGAAAUGUUUACUUGUAAGAAAGAAUUAAAUGACCUACAGACUUGGAAAUGCAAAAGAAAAGAAAAGAAAAAAAAAAAAGACCUCUCACCUCUGGUUGUCUGGGAUCCUGGGGUUUUUAACCCCAACCUCCACAGUGAGAAUGUACAUAGGGAUAUGUAAUGAACUUAACCUGACCUGGAGGACUCUGCACACAGGACAGACCAAGAA
This is a long non-coding RNA of Erinaceus europaeus (western European hedgehog), 699 nucleotides long. RefSeq lists it as uncharacterized. Lineage: Eukaryota; Metazoa; Chordata; Mammalia; Eulipotyphla; Erinaceidae. The record is from RefSeq and is a predicted model, not a curated record. The transcript has 2 exons.